CAAUAGCGUAUAUUAAAGUUGUUGCAGUUAAAAAGCUCGUAGUUGGAUUUCUGGAUGGAGCGACCGGUCGGGCAUUAAUUUGCCUGCACUGGAGUCGGUUCCGUCCAUCCUCUUGGAAAGUGCGUCGGGCAUUAAGUUGUUUGGCGUAUGAUCCAAGUCGUUUACUGUGAAAAAAUUAGAGUGUUUAAAGCAGGCCUUCGCCUUGAAUACAUUAGCAUGGAAUAAUAAGAUAGGACUUUGGUCUAUUUUGUUGGUUUGCAGACCGAAGUAAUGAUUAAUAGGGAUAGUUGGGGGUAUUUAUAUUCCGAUGUCAGAGGUGAAAUUCUUAGAUUUUCGGAAGAUAAACUUAUGCGAAAGCAUUUACCAAGGAUGUUUUCAUUAA
This 382-nucleotide ribosomal RNA is filed under the name uncultured eukaryote. Its description in RNAcentral is "partial 18S ribosomal RNA". It matches the Rfam family "Eukaryotic small subunit ribosomal RNA", at positions 592 to 976 of the family's 1831-position model. The record is from RNAcentral.